RNAcentral lists this ribosomal RNA (494 nucleotides) under uncultured bacterium. RNAcentral's name for it is "bacterial SSU rRNA". It matches the Rfam family "Bacterial small subunit ribosomal RNA", at positions 903 to 1397 of the family's 1533-position model. The record is from RNAcentral.
AAAUGAAUUGACGGGGACCCGCACAAGCGGUGGAGCAUGUGGUUUAAUUCGAAGCAACGCGAAGAACCUUACCAGGUCUUGACAUCCUGCUGACCGUUCCUUAACCGGAACUUUUCUUCGGAACAGCAGAGACAGGUGGUGCAUGGUUGUCGUCAGCUCGUGUCGUGAGAUGUUGGGUUAAGUCCCGCAACGAGCGCAACCCUUAUCUUCAGUAGCCAGCGGUUAAGCCGGGCACUCUGGAGAGACUGCCGGGGACAACCCGGAGGAAGGUGGGGAUGACGUCAAAUCAUCAUGCCCCUUAUGAUCUGGGCUACACACGUGCUACAAUGGUAGGAACAAAGUGAAGCGAGCCUGCGAGGGGGAGCAAAUCACAAAAAAUCUAUCCCAGUUCGGAUUGUAGUCUGCAACUCGACUGCAUGAAGCUGGAAUCGCUAGUAAUCGUGAAUCAGAAUGUCACGGUGAAUACGUUCCCGGGUCUUGUACACACCGCCCGU